GCAACUCUAGGACGAUCACCGUCCAUUGUAAAGACGAGGAGGCAAAAGCCAGAGAGUGCCAGGCACUAGAGGACUGGGACUAAGAGCGGAGGGCUCUGGAGUCAGCUCCGCCUCCAUGUGACCUAGGGCCGGUGACCUCUCCUCCAAAGACUCAGCCUCCGCACCUGCAGUGAGGGAUACCCACAAAACCCACUCCACGGGGUGCAGCGAGGGGAUGGAAGCAGAAACAUGGACUCACUGGCCAAUUGAGCAUUUUAAAGGGAAGACAGUGGCAGAAGGAGACUUCGCAAAAUCCACAGGCCAAUGAACCCCCUUCCUGCAAAGCCCAGAUUCUCCUGGGAAGAAGAUUAUAAAAGGAAUCACUGCAAAGACAAGAGACACGAAAUACACAGAAGUACAAAAGAAACCCAAAGAGAAGAAAAGAAGAAGAUGAGAGGUAACAGAACAGUGGAGAAGCACGGAGCACCCUCGCCCUGUCACGCCGGGAGCCCGCCUG
Molecule: long non-coding RNA, 496 nt
Organism: Ailuropoda melanoleuca (giant panda)
Lineage: Eukaryota; Metazoa; Chordata; Mammalia; Carnivora; Ursidae
Exons: 3
Source: RefSeq, a predicted model, not a curated record